GGCGGGGGGCCCGGCCGGAGCAAGAGGGAGGCUCAGCGCCGGCUCCACCAACCAGGGCCCGCUCGCCCGUCCGCUUCACCAGGAUUGGCGAGCGUCUCAGCCAAUGGAGAAGCGACAAGAGCGGCGGAGCGUCGGCGCCGAGGGGCGGGGGAUUGCGGAGGAGGUGGCUCCCACCCUUGGUCCUCCGCCGCCGGGUCGCGAUGAGGCUUUGACCCGGCUCCCUUUCAGAGCGAAGGGAUUCUUCCCUUUUUCUUCACCCUAUCUCCAAACACCGUCUACCCCAGAUGUGAGAAAAUCUACAGUAACUAUUAGAUACAGGAUAUCCCUGAAACUCCCAAGCUAAGCCCAGUGACAAUGGAAACAUAGCCAGGUGGUACUUGAUGACUCCGGCGUAAACUUCAGAAGGGAGGAGGAAAGGAAAGGAAGAGAAGAAAAGAAAGGAAAGCCAAGUCUGUUCUCCUAGACGUGUGAUAGCUAUCCACACCUGUUCCAGCUGUAACAGCAACUAAAAGUAACCCCGCCUUAUAUGAACUGCUGCUACACUGAGUUUGGCAUCCACUAUUAGCCCUUAAUCAUACUGUCCUGAGGUGUUUGGGAUUGUAUCAUGUAGGCCAGUCUUAGCUCUCUAAUUAGAUGGUAAGUUCCAUGAGGUAAGG
RNAcentral lists this long non-coding RNA (656 nucleotides) under Equus caballus (horse). RNAcentral's name for it is "lncRNA (ENSECAG00000031402.2)". The record is from RNAcentral. Lineage: Eukaryota; Metazoa; Chordata; Mammalia; Perissodactyla; Equidae.